Chenopodium quinoa (quinoa) is the source of this 1737-nucleotide long non-coding RNA. RefSeq lists it as uncharacterized. The transcript has 6 exons. The record is from RefSeq and is a predicted model, not a curated record. Lineage: Eukaryota; Viridiplantae; Streptophyta; Magnoliopsida; Caryophyllales; Amaranthaceae.
CUUCUCACCGACUUCCCUCUCUGUUUUCAUCUCAGAAGGAAAGGGUCAGAGCAUUUCUUAGGUGAAACAAGGAGAGAGAAACCUAGAGAGAGAAACCUACAGCAACUCAAGACCACCGAUGAUGGUGCUUCGAAUUCUUCGAGUUUGAGGUUGUGGAAGACACUUUUUGGAUCAUCAUAUUCAUCAGGAGUGGUGAUUUCGCCCUUUUGAUUUUGACCUGAGAAAGGAAAAAAGAGGAGAAAACUGCUGCUGAAGAUACUUUGAAUGCUUACAAAGCUGCUCAGGUCUUGGUGAUGCACACAUCACGGCUCAAUAUGUAGGUCUUGGUGCGGUUGCUCGGGAUGAACUUGGGCAGCUGCUGUGGGCUGCUGUUCGAAGAGUGGCUGCGUAAUCAGAGGUGGAGGCAGCUGAAGCGGUGUGUUUUGGAAUGCAAAUUGCACAUAUGUUGGGCAUCUUGAACAUCUGGAUUGCUAAGAACAAACUUGUUCUUCAUCAUAUUCUUCUGGGUUUUAGCUUUUUCUGAAGAAUUUCUCACUGGAAAGGGAAUAAAAGGAAGGAUGUGGCUCCAAACCAUGCUGCUUCUUCAGGGAAAGGUCCUCCUAUCCUUGCUGUGGUAAUCCUUCUUGAAUUGCAACUAUACUUGCUAUGAUGUGUGCUACUUGGUUUUGCAGGAACAAAUUCAUCUUUGAAAACAUAACAUUGACCAUAGUGUAUACAACUAUGGGAUUUGUAAAAUAUGUUGAGGUGUAUGGCUCUUAUACACACAAAGUAUUCGUUAGAACUGCAGCUCAUGACUACCCUUCUGCAUCAGGUUGUUAGAAAAUUAGUUCUGACUAGCAGAGGAGUCAAGAACCCUCGCGUUACCAUCUUGAAACUGCUGCUCUUCGGUAACUUUUCAUGUAAAAAAGACGACUCCAAUAAUUGUUUAUUAAAAGAUUUAAUGAUUUCAGAAUUGAGCUAUUGUUUUAAAUUAUCUUCAAUGAUUACACCUUUAUAACACACUCUUGAUCCAAAAUGGACAGUCAUGUAUUACUUUAUUAUAUGAAGUAAAUUAUAAGCAGAGUGCUCAACGAUCCAUUUAAUUUCUUCUGUAGUUUAUGUAAUUGUGAACUUCAAAUCCUGUAUUAUACUACCUGUAUUAUACUAUUAUUAGACUUUAUGCUUUUGAUUAGGGAUCAGUAAAUGUAUAUGUUAAUAGAUAAAGCAGUGAGGUAUGCUUGCAAAAACAAGAUAACUAUCUGAAGUUAUAUGGUGCCACUACAAGUGUGAUAUCAAGAAUUCCUUAUUUUCAACUGAAAUAUUUGGUUUUGAUUAAUUGGAGUUCUGGUUUGACUCUUUCAGGUUAAUACUCUUAAGGUAGCAACUGCAGUUCAUUGCAUCAAGCAUAUAGCGAUGAAAAUUAUGACUUCAAAUGCAACAAAUCGCUUUUCUUUAUCUUGUCGUUUAGGCAAAACAAAAUGUGAGCUUCAUAAGUGUUUACAGAUAUAUAGUACGGAGUAAUGAUAUUGAGCUUCGUAGCUUUUUGGCUUGUUAUUUUACACAUUUUUAGAUCCAUAUUUUAAUCGAGAAUUUUCUUAGUAGACCCGGAAUUCUAUUUGUAAAUUAUCUUCUGAUCGUGUGCUUGGUAUAUUCUGAUUUGAUUCUUGUCAAAUUGGGCGAGUUAAUAUGUUCUUUUGGAUACAUGUAUAAUCUAAGAAUAUGAUCAAUUUGUUUUGUUCUGGAUAAUUUGGAGUGGAA